This 374-nucleotide ribosomal RNA is filed under the name uncultured organism. RNAcentral's name for it is "partial 16S ribosomal RNA". It matches the Rfam family "Bacterial small subunit ribosomal RNA", at positions 527 to 896 of the family's 1533-position model. The record is from RNAcentral.
GUAGGUGGCAAGCGUUGUCCGGAAUUAUUGGGCGUAAAGCGCGCGCAGGCGGGUCCUUUAAGUCUGAUGUGAAAGCCCACGGGCUCAACCGUGGAGGGUCAUUGGAAACUGGGGGACUUGAGUACAGAAGAGGAAAGCGGAAUUCCAAGUGUAGCGGUGAAAUGCGUAGAGAUUUGGAGGAACACCAGUGGCGAAGGCGGCUUUCUGGUCUGUAACUGACGCUGAGGCGCGAAAGCGUGGGGAGCAAACAGGAUUAGAUACCCUGGUAGUCCACGCCGUAAACGAUGAGUGCUAAGUGCUAGGGGGGUUUCCGCCCCUUAGUGCUGCAGCUAACGCAUUAAGCACUCCGCCUGGGGAGUACGGCCGCAAGGCUG